UGGCUCAGUGGUAGAGCGCUUGCCUUGCAUGCAUGAGGCUCUGGGUUUGAUUCCCCAG
This 58-nucleotide transfer RNA is filed under the name Dipodomys ordii (Ord's kangaroo rat). It matches the Rfam family "tRNA", at positions 8 to 63 of the family's 71-position model. Rfam says of the family: Transfer RNA (tRNA) molecules are approximately 80 nucleotides in length. Their secondary structure includes four short double-helical elements and three loops (D, anti-codon, and T loops). Further hydrogen bonds mediate the characteristic L-shaped molecular structure. tRNAs have two regions of fundamental functional importance: the anti-codon, which is responsible for specific mRNA codon recognition, and the 3' end, to which the tRNAs corresponding amino acid is attached (by aminoacyl-tRNA synthetases). tRNAs cope with the degeneracy of the genetic code in two manners: having more than one tRNA (with a specific anti-codon) for a particular amino acid; and 'wobble' base-pairing, i.e. permitting non-standard base-pairing at the 3rd anti-codon position. Lineage: Eukaryota; Metazoa; Chordata; Mammalia; Rodentia; Heteromyidae. The record is from Rfam by way of RNAcentral.